Molecule: ribosomal RNA, 423 nt
Filed under: uncultured Ethanoligenens sp.
Lineage: Bacteria; Bacillati; Bacillota; Clostridia; Eubacteriales; Oscillospiraceae
Description: bacterial SSU rRNA
Rfam family: Bacterial small subunit ribosomal RNA
Source: RNAcentral
UGGGGGAAUAUUGGGCAAUGGGCGAAAGCCUGACCCAGCAACGCCGCGUGAGGGAAGAAGGCCUUCGGGUUGUAAACCUCUGUCCUUAGUGGCGAAGGAAGUGACGGUAGCUAAGGAGGAAGCCCCGGCUAACUACGUGCCAGCAGCCGCGGUAAUACGUAGGUGGCAAGCGUUGUCCGGAAUUACUGGGUGUAAAGGGUGCGCAGGCGGGACUGCAAGUUGGAUGUGAAAUACCGAGGCUUAACCUCGGAGCUGCAUCCAAAACUGUGGUUCUUGAGUGGAGUAGAGGUAAGCGGAAUUCCGAGUGUAGCGGUGAAAUGCGUAGAUAUUCGGAGGAACACCGGUGGCGAAGGCGGCUUACUAGGCUCUAACUGACGCUGAGGCACGAAAGCAUGGGUAGCAACAGGAUUAGAUACCCUGGUA